GAUGAAGAACGUAGCGAAAUGCGAUAAGUAAUGUGAAUUGCAGAAUUCCGUGAAUCAUCGAAUCUUUGAACGCACAUUGCGCCCCCUGUAUUCCGGGGGGCAUGCCUGUCCGAGCGUCAUUGCAACCCUCAAGCGCGGCUUGUGUGUUGGGCUUCGUCCCCCCGUGGACGUGCCCGAAAGGCAGUGGCGGCGUCCCGAAUGGUGCCCGAGCGUAUGGGAACUCUCUUCCGCUCGAACCGGCCCAUUCGGCGCUGGUCGAACCCCAAUUUUUUUUUACCGGUUGACCUCGGAUCAGGUAGGGAUACCCGCUGAACUUAAGCAUAUCAAUAAGCGGAGGA
This 338-nucleotide unclassified non-coding RNA is filed under the name soil metagenome. RNAcentral describes it as "partial contains 5.8S ribosomal RNA, internal transcribed spacer 2, and large subunit ribosomal RNA". The stretch from base 1 to 119 matches the Rfam family "5.8S ribosomal RNA", at positions 35 to 154 of the family's 154-position model. The record is from RNAcentral.